Molecule: long non-coding RNA, 383 nt
Organism: Zalophus californianus (California sea lion)
Lineage: Eukaryota; Metazoa; Chordata; Mammalia; Carnivora; Otariidae
Exons: 3
Source: RefSeq, a predicted model, not a curated record
CGCAGGGGGAGGACAGCCUAUUCAAUUUCUGGAAAUUCAGUGGGCUGGCUAUGAAGACCAGCUGUCCUACUGUGGCACGGUUCUGGAGUCCUACCUGCUUUCUCAGUUCCUGUCUCUUAGCAGUGGCUAGUUCUAAGAUGGAUUUUGUAAGACCACUUAGAAGGUUCUGCGGGAGUGAACUCCCCACAGCAGUGGCCAGCGUGUCUGUGGUGGGCUGAAUAAUGACACCCCAAAGAUGGGCACGUUCUUACCCUGGAAUCUGUCCUUCUCCACCCGUGGACUUGGUUGGGAGGAUUCCUCAGCGAAUGGUCCAGGAUGGGGAAGUAACAUCUAGAAACUAAACCCGGAUGGAUGAAGAUGUGGCCUUGUAUCAACAUUUACCU